UUUAAGUGCAACCAUAAGUUUUCGCGUCUAACUUUGUAGUAAUUUUUUUAUUAGAUGAUAAAACAUGAACAGUAUUUUACUCGUGACUUAUGUUUUUAAAUUUUUUAAAUUUUCUUUUCAAAUAAGAUGACGAUCAAAAUUGAACGCGGAAAAUCAUGUUUGCACUUAAA
This 170-nucleotide microRNA precursor is filed under the name Oryza sativa Japonica Group (Japanese rice). Its description in RNAcentral is "MIR812 microRNA precursor family". It matches the Rfam family "MIR812 microRNA precursor family". Lineage: Eukaryota; Viridiplantae; Streptophyta; Magnoliopsida; Poales; Poaceae. The record is from Rfam by way of RNAcentral.